This 398-nucleotide ribosomal RNA is filed under the name uncultured bacterium. RNAcentral's name for it is "bacterial SSU rRNA". It matches the Rfam family "Bacterial small subunit ribosomal RNA", at positions 358 to 773 of the family's 1533-position model. The record is from RNAcentral.
GGAAUAUUGGACAAUGGGGGAAACCCUGAUCCAGCAAUGCCGCGUGAGUGAUGAAGGCCUUAGGGUUGUAAAGCUCUUUUACCUGGGAUGAUAAUGACAGUACCGGGAGAAUAAGCCCCGGCUAACUCCGUGCCAGCAGCCGCGGUAAUACGGAGGGGGCUAGCGUUGUUCGGAAUUACUGGGCGUAAAGCGCACGUAGGCGGCUUUUUAAGUCAGGGGUGAAAUCCCGGGGCUCAACCCCGGAACUGCCUCUGAAACUGGAUGGCUAGAAUCUUGGAGAGGCGAGUGGAAUUCCGAGUGUAGAGGUGAAAUUCGUAGAUAUUCGGAAGAACACCAGUGGCGAAGGCGACUCGCUGGACAAGUAUUGACGCUGAGGUGCGAAAGCGUGGGGAGCAAAC